This 952-nucleotide ribosomal RNA is filed under the name Streptomyces sp. WAC1368. RNAcentral's name for it is "bacterial SSU rRNA". It matches the Rfam family "Bacterial small subunit ribosomal RNA", at positions 55 to 1020 of the family's 1533-position model. The record is from RNAcentral. Lineage: Bacteria; Bacillati; Actinomycetota; Actinomycetes; Kitasatosporales; Streptomycetaceae.
AUGCAAGUCGAACGAUGAACCNUUCGGUGGGGAUUAGUGGCGAACGGGUGAGUAACACGUGGGCAAUCUGCCCUUCACUCUGGGACAAGCCCUGGAAACGGGGUCUAAUACCGGAUACUGACCCUUGCAGGCAUCUGCGAGGUUCGAAAGCUCCGGCGGUGAAGGAUGAGCCCGCGGCCUAUCAGCUUGUUGGUGAGGUAAUGGCUCACCAAGGCGACGACGGGUAGCCGGCCUGAGAGGGCGACCGGCCACACUGGGACUGAGACACGGCCCAGACUCCUACGGGAGGCAGCAGUGGGGAAUAUUGCACAAUGGGCGAAAGCCUGAUGCAGCGACGCCGCGUGAGGGAUGACGGCCUUCGGGUUGUAAACCUCUUUCAGCAGGGAAGAAGCGAAAGUGACGGUACCUGCAGAAGAAGCGCCGGCUAACUACGUGCCAGCAGCCGCGGUAAUACGUAGGGCGCAAGCGUUGUCCGGAAUUAUUGGGCGUAAAGAGCUCGUAGGCGGCUUGUCACGUCGGUUGUGAAAGCCCGGGGCUUAACCCCGGGUCUGCAGUCGAUACGGGCAGGCUAGAGUUCGGUAGGGGAGAUCGGAAUUCCUGGUGUAGCGGUGAAAUGCGCAGAUAUCAGGAGGAACACCGGUGGCGAANGCGGAUCUCUGGGCCGAUACUGACGCUGAGGAGCGAAAGCGUGGGGAGCGAACAGGAUUAGAUACCCUGGUAGUCCACGCCGUAAACGGUGGGCACUAGGUGUGGGCAACAUUCCACGUUGUCCGUGCCGCAGCUAACGCAUUAAGUGCCCCGCCUGGGGAGUACGGCCGCANGGCUAAAACUCAAAGGAAUUGANGGGGGCCCGCACAAGCGGCGGANCAUGUGGCUUAAUUUCGACGCNACGCGANNAACCUUACCAAGGCUUGACAUACACCGGAAAGCAUCANANAUGGUGCCCCCCUUG